Molecule: microRNA, 22 nt
Filed under: Bos taurus (domestic cattle)
Lineage: Eukaryota; Metazoa; Chordata; Mammalia; Artiodactyla; Bovidae
Description: bta-miR-12018
Source: miRBase by way of RNAcentral
AUCUUGUCCGAGAAUGUCUUGA